This 420-nucleotide RNase P RNA is filed under the name Phycisphaerae bacterium. RNAcentral describes it as "RNase P RNA component class A". It matches the Rfam family "Bacterial RNase P class A". Rfam says of the family: Ribonuclease P (RNase P) is a ubiquitous endoribonuclease, found in archaea, bacteria and eukarya as well as chloroplasts and mitochondria. Its best characterised activity is the generation of mature 5'-ends of tRNAs by cleaving the 5'-leader elements of precursor-tRNAs. The record is from RNAcentral. Lineage: Bacteria; Pseudomonadati; Planctomycetota; Phycisphaerae.
AAGGCGGGGCGAGGCGAUCGAUCGUCCGCCGUCAGGCGGGCGGUAGGAAAGUCCGAACUGGACAGGGCAGGGUGGUCGGUAACGCCGACCCGCCCGGCGGUCAAACGCCGGGCGAGGGAAAGUGCCACAGAAACGACACCGCCGAUGGAUCCGCCGCUUCGGAUCUCAGGCAAGGGUGAAAUGGUGCGGUAAGAGCGCACCGCGUCCACCGUGAGGCGGACGGCCGGGUAAACCCCACCGCCAGCAAGCCCGCGUAGGCAGCCAGCGGUCCGGCUCGCCGGACCCGCGACGCGGCCCGCGUCGCUACGAGCUGUGGGUAGGGUGCUAGAGCCGUCCGGCAACGGCCGGCCCAGAUGAAUGAUCGCCCGCCGGCGCUAACCCGCCGGCGAACAGGAUUCGGCUUACGUCCCCGCCUUGUCC